GGGGGCAUAGCUCAGUUGGGAGAGCAGUAGACUGAAGAGUUGGCUUCUAAAGGUCCCGCGUUCGAUCCGCGGUGCCCCCA
Fistulina hepatica ATCC 64428 is the source of this 80-nucleotide transfer RNA. It matches the Rfam family "tRNA". From Rfam's summary of the family: Transfer RNA (tRNA) molecules are approximately 80 nucleotides in length. Their secondary structure includes four short double-helical elements and three loops (D, anti-codon, and T loops). Lineage: Eukaryota; Fungi; Basidiomycota; Agaricomycetes; Agaricales; Fistulinaceae. The record is from Rfam.